UGCCCCUGUCAACGGGCAAAGAGACACUUGUUGGCAGUGGUAUUCCUAUGUCAGCCGGAGGCAGAACAGGUGGCAGUCCUCUGCUCAGCCUAGCUUGGUGCUUGACUUAGUGGCCAAAGAUAUUUUAUGCCUAGGACACAUAA
Small nucleolar RNA from Psammomys obesus (fat sand rat), 143 nucleotides. RefSeq annotates it as small nucleolar RNA SNORA48. Lineage: Eukaryota; Metazoa; Chordata; Mammalia; Rodentia; Muridae. The record is from RefSeq and is a predicted model, not a curated record. The transcript has a single exon.